CUACGGGACGCACCAGUCGAGAAUCUUCCGCAAUGGACGAAAGUCUGACGGAGCGACGCCGCGUGCGGGAUGAAGGCCCUCGGGUUGUAAACCGCUGUCAGUGGGGAGGAAAUGCAUCAGGGUUCUCCCUGGUGUUUGACCGAUCCGCAGAGGAAGCGCAGGCUAAGUUCGUGCCAGCAGCCGCGGUAACACGAACUGCGCGAACGUUAUUCGGAAUCACUGGGCUUAGAGAGUUUGUAGGCGGCCUUUCAAGUCGGGUGUGAAAUCCCUCGGCUCAACCGAGGAAUUGCGCCUGAUACUGUUGGGCUUGAGGGGGAUAGGGGUGAGCGGAACUGAUGGUGGAGCGGUGAAAUGCGUUGAUAUCAUCAGGAACACCGGUGGCGAAGGCGGCUCACUGGAUCUCUUCUGACGCUGAGGAACGAAAGCUAGGGGAGCGAACGGGAUUAGAUACCCUUGUAGUC
RNAcentral lists this ribosomal RNA (461 nucleotides) under uncultured bacterium. Its description in RNAcentral is "partial 16S ribosomal RNA". It matches the Rfam family "Bacterial small subunit ribosomal RNA", at positions 339 to 795 of the family's 1533-position model. The record is from RNAcentral.